AUCCAGCUGACGCGUCCCAAAUUGGACGAAACGCGCGUCCUGGAU
Molecule: non-coding RNA, 45 nt
Filed under: Schistosoma curassoni
Lineage: Eukaryota; Metazoa; Platyhelminthes; Trematoda; Strigeidida; Schistosomatidae
Source: RNAcentral